RNAcentral lists this transfer RNA (70 nucleotides) under Camelus bactrianus (Bactrian camel). It matches the Rfam family "tRNA". From Rfam's summary of the family: Transfer RNA (tRNA) molecules are approximately 80 nucleotides in length. Their secondary structure includes four short double-helical elements and three loops (D, anti-codon, and T loops). The record is from Rfam by way of RNAcentral. RNAcentral also lists the same sequence under 3 other names. Lineage: Eukaryota; Metazoa; Chordata; Mammalia; Artiodactyla; Camelidae.
GGGCAUAGCUCAGUGGUAGAGUGUGUACUUAGCAUGCAUGAGGUCCUGGGUUCAAUCCCCAGUAUCUCCA